ACGCUCGACACCUACGGGAGGCAGCAGUGGGGAAUAUUGCACAAUGGGGGAAACCCGUGAUGCAGCGACGCCGCGUGAGUGAAGAAGUAAUUCGUUAUGUAAAGCUCUAUCAGCAGGGAAGAAAGUGACGGUACCUGAGUAAGAAGCCCCGGCUAACUACGUGUCAGCAGCCGCGGUAAUCUGAGGCGGGCUGGCAAGGC
Molecule: ribosomal RNA, 200 nt
Filed under: uncultured bacterium
Lineage: Bacteria
Description: partial 16S ribosomal RNA
Rfam family: Bacterial small subunit ribosomal RNA
Source: RNAcentral